Molecule: long non-coding RNA, 416 nt
Filed under: Panax ginseng (ginseng)
Lineage: Eukaryota; Viridiplantae; Streptophyta; Magnoliopsida; Apiales; Araliaceae
Description: long non-coding RNA (PGIN_LNC004867)
Source: RNAcentral
CUUGGAGACCAUUGAAGAUCAAGAGCAAGAGCAAGAGGGGAGCAUCAGAUUUGCUAACAACAGAUUCUAUUCUCUUCUCUCAUCUUAUUUUUAUCUUUUGAUGUCUAUUCAGUUGUGGAUUCUUGGUUUUAAUUCAUUAAUUAUGAACUAACUAUUUUUGAGAUUUCAAUUGAACUUUUUAUGGCUAUGAAUUAGUUAUUCAUUAUAUUCUAAUUAUUUAUGUAAAAGUGAGUUGUUUAUCUUGUCUUGUGCUUAUUGCUUAAUUAUUUGAUCAGUAAUUACUUUGUUACUCUAGAAGGAAUUGGAAGAGGAAUUCUAGGGUUAGAACUGGGCAUGAUAUCAUGUGACUUAGUUAUUUGCACAGUGAAUAAUUAGGUUUGUGAAUAGAAUGGAAAUACCUUUUCGCCGCAUGUAAC